AAGUUAAAAUUGAAAUUUGAAUGUGUUUUUAUGUAUAGAGUACAUAAAAACAUUACAUUUACAAAUGCUAUAAGAAAAGGCACACAGAAAUAUGUAGGCAUUUUUAAUUUUUGGAGUUUCUCAUAAAUUCACAAUCCGCUGAUCUUAUCACAAGCAGUGUUUUCAUCUAAAUUUUGUAUUGACCACUGCGGCAAGAUGUUUUAACUUAUUCUUUAACAAAUAUCUCAUAUUACUAUUCAUGUUUGAAUAUCACUUGAAAAAUAUAAUAGGGUGACUAUAAUAAUAAUAAUAAUAAUUUUAUUUCAAUUACUGCUCCAGCAUUGCGUCUUCCCCCACUGAGUAAAUAAUUACGCAAACUGUCAUUGCUGUGUCCAGAUGUCCCGCUGGUGUCACUGAGGCCAAGCAGAACGUGUCCCGUUACCUUCAUCAAUAUUAUAUCAGCGCCUGUCGCAGCGCGGGGGCCACAUGAAAAUGAUUAACCCAAAACCUUUUAUUGACUUUCAGGAAGUUUAAAUGUCGGUCGCUGAUGGCGCAUUGUGUCUGAUUCUUUUCUCUGAGCCGAGGGGGCAAAAACACCAUAAAGCAGCUCACACAGAGGGAACCUCAGAGCAGCUGCUUAAUAUUAUUCUCCGGGCACGAGUAGUUUGUAAACUGUGAAUACGUGGGAACCCAGCACGUGACGGAGGCCUGCGCCAAGCAUUCAUCCACCACGCGCGUGACAAUGUGUCAGAGGGGGGUCUGCUGUUUUAGUGAAUCCCACAUACAGACUCCCGUUUAUUCUAUAAACAAAUACACCCAAUAUUCGUUUGUAAAGAGCGUUUAACUUAUAUCGCUUCGAAUAAAGUGCUUACUUUGUUUACUUAGCUCCUCUUAGAGUUCAGCACAGACCUUCAGGCUCACACCAAAUCAUCCUCAUUGGUCAUGAAUCCAUAUUUAAUGCGGGCUGCUCGUGGAAGUGGGAGUGUCUUGCCUUAAGUUUUGCAGUCACUUGAUUGCUGUCGUUGUCGGUGGGGGUAAAGCGACUGUUAGGCGAGGAGCGGGUGUGGGGAGGGCGGUCUGUACUACAGUCUGCGUGCCUUGUGGACACCGCUGCUCCUGGUGGCGCAACACAAACCGUCCGCGCACACAGACCGCGCAGCAGAGAGACGGGAGGACACAGAGCAGGAGGGAGGCGUCCCGCUCCUAAAGCAAACAUAUUUGCAACCUCCAGCACAGACUUCUUAAUAUUUAUCCGGCAUUUAUUCGAUCACAGUCACUCGAUUUCGGAGGUGAUCUGAACAGGACCGUCAAAGCCUCCAGGUCUCCAAGGAUGGACUCCAUACCUACGGGACGAGACACCACUAGCUCUUCGCCAAGCUCCAAACAAGAACUUUCCUACCCCAGUACCAACUUGAAACCCAACCAGGUCGGCGAGACGAUUCUGUACGGAAUACCCAUCGUGUCUUUGGUGAUAGAUGGCCAGGAGAGACUUUGCCUUGCGCAGAUAUCAAACACGUUGUUGAAGAAUUACAGCUACAACGAGAUCCACAACCGACGCGUGGCCCUGGGCAUCACCUGCGUCCAGUGCACCCCGGUGCAGCUAGAGAUCCUGCGGAGAGCCGGGGCGAUGCCAAUCUCUUCCCGGCGCUGCGGGAUGAUCACCAAACGGGAGGCUGAGAGACUCUGUAAGUCGUUUCUGGGAGCGCACUCGCCUCCAAAACUUCCCGAAAAUUUCGCCUUCGACGUGUCUCACGAGUGCGCCUGGGGAAGUCGAGGAAACUUCAUCCCGGCCAGACACAACAGCUCCAGAGCCAAGUGCAUCAAGUGCUCCUACUGCAACAUGUAUUUCUCCCCGAAUAAAUUUAUAUUUCACUCCCAUCGCACGCCGGAGUCAAAGUACACGCAACCGGAUGCCGCUAAUUUCAACUCCUGGAGGCGACACCUCAAGCUGACAGACAAGAGCAGUCCCUUGGAGAUCAUGCACGCGUGGGAAGACGUGAAGGCCAUGUUCAACGGGGGAAGUCGCAAGAGGACGCUGCCGGGGAGUGGAUCUGGGUCCAACUCUCCUCUAAAACUGCAUGGGCCAAAUCGAUCCCGAGACUCGCCGGAGAUCCCCGCAAAAAUCCUCAGCUGCGAAGACACUCGGGGUGCUAUGACCAGCGCCCGCAGCUACCCGGUCAUUCCGGUGCCCAGUAAAGGCUUCGGGAUGCUACAGAAAAUCCCUCCGCCGCUCUUCCCUCAUCCCUAUGGCUUCCCUGCUUUCGGUCUGUGCCAGAAGAAGGAUGACGGGAUAAUGGGCGAGCAGAGCAAAGCGGGGCUGCCGGGCGUCCUGUGGCCUGGCACCAAGGACAGCGCCUACCCCUCCUUCCCCAUGUUCUGGCCCGCUGCGGGCCCGCUGCCCAUGCCCCCAUACGCACAGACUCCACACAAGCCCCCUCCUGAGCUGCUAUGCCCUAGGCAGAUAGAGGUGGACAUUUCCGAAAGCAGCGACCGCAGCACCAACACGUCCAAAGACAGCGUGGUGGACACCGACCGCUGCUCCAGCACCCAGUCCAUACGUAACGAAGACGACAAAUCCGGGGACGAGGGGAGGCCCACGGAAGGAAUGAGCCUCCCGGCGCGGAAACUCAGCUACGUGUCCGCAUUCAGGCCCGUCAUUAAAGACGCCGACUGCAUCGCCAAGCUGUACGGCAGCAGGGGCGCGUACAACGGCUGCCGCACCGGCUACUCAUCACCUGAUUUUUUAAGCGAGAGCUCCAGCUACCGGUCUGUGUCCCCGUGCGUGGACAGCGAGGGUGAGCCGGACGUAGACGUGGAGACGAACAGAUCGCCAGAGGAGCAGGAGGAUCCCGGGCCUCGGACUCCUCUUGGUUUGGCGCACAGCGCUUCACCGAAAGACUCAGAGUCCUCAAAGGGCGCAGAGGGAAGCGAGAAUGAGGCGCAGAAAAUGAGCCUGCAGGUGGCCCAGUCCUCUGACAGAGAGCUGCAGAGCAAACAGCUACCAGAGCACCACAUAGCAGCACCUUUCACAGAAGUUUACACACCGGACAGAGCUGAGCUGCAACAAAGGAGCAGCCCGUAUCAAUUCAGACCCACCAAUUACCUGACGGCAGUACUGACUACAAACGACGAGAGCGCAAGUAAGGAAGAGCCGUCUUCCACAGUGGAGGAGACUGAAACAAAAUCUUUUAAGAACAUUCUGCUCAGCUUGCUGGCCAUGACUCAUCCCAGUCACCACCUCAACUUUGGCAUGAAUCCCGUGACAAUGAGGGUGCUCCGAGGAGAGCCUUCAAGAGUGGGACAGAGGCUGCAUGGGACAAGCUGUGCCAAUCACUCUGCAAUUAUUACUAUUUGUAAGUGUGUGUGUGUGUGUCUCUGUGUGUGCUAUCCAGGGGCCUUGUGUGGGAGAGGAGCAAGGACACAUGCUGCCGUGUUUCUCUGAGCUUUCCUUGUAAUGCAGAGCUGAACUGAAGCUCUUCAAGGCAGUAAUCUGGAGGUCUUCCAGUGUGCUCUUCCGUCUCCCUGAUGCUGUUUGCUCAACCAACAAACCUCCGAGGCCCUCACACAACAGCUGCAUUUAUA
Molecule: RNA transcript, 3561 nt
Organism: Xiphophorus maculatus (southern platyfish)
Lineage: Eukaryota; Metazoa; Chordata; Actinopteri; Cyprinodontiformes; Poeciliidae
Gene name: SKI family transcriptional corepressor 1 homolog-B-like
Exons: 6
Source: RefSeq, a predicted model, not a curated record